GAUGAAGGCCUUCGGGUCGUAAACUGCUUUUAUUUGUGAAGAAUAUGACGGUAACAAAUGAAUAAGGGUCGGCUAACUACGUGCCAGCAGCCGCGGUCAUACGUAGGACCCAAGCGUUAUCCGGAGUGACUGGGCGUAAAGAGUUGCGUAGGCGGUUAGUUAAGCGAAUAGUGAAACCUGGUGGCUCAACCAUACAGACUAUUAUUCGAACUGGCUAACUCGAGAGUGGUAGAGGUAACUGGAAUUUCUA
This 250-nucleotide ribosomal RNA is filed under the name uncultured bacterium. Its description in RNAcentral is "partial 16S ribosomal RNA". It matches the Rfam family "Bacterial small subunit ribosomal RNA", at positions 407 to 672 of the family's 1533-position model. The record is from RNAcentral.